AUGACUUUGAUCAGCGUCUUCAUCUGCACACUGGCCCUCUGGACUCAAGGAUCCAGAGGUCAGGUGACUGUGACUCAGACUCCUUCAGUGCAAACUGUUGAUCCAGAAGAAACCUUCAACUGUAGAAUCAGUAGCAGUGUGCUUCAUGGUAACCGUCUCGCCUGGUACCUGCAGAAACCUGGAGAAGCUCCUAAACUCCUGAUCUACGGGGCUACUAACUUACAGUCAGGAACUCCAGCUCGUUUCAGUGGCAGUGGAUCUAAUACUGACUUCACUCUGACCAUCAGAGGAGUCCAGACUGAAGAUGCAGGAGAUUACUACUGUUAG
This is a non-coding RNA of Ictalurus furcatus (blue catfish), 327 nucleotides long. The record is from the annotation of a RefSeq genome assembly. Lineage: Eukaryota; Metazoa; Chordata; Actinopteri; Siluriformes; Ictaluridae.